RNAcentral lists this ribosomal RNA (537 nucleotides) under Clavispora lusitaniae. RNAcentral describes it as "eukaryotic LSU rRNA". It matches the Rfam family "Eukaryotic large subunit ribosomal RNA", at positions 65 to 670 of the family's 3401-position model. Lineage: Eukaryota; Fungi; Ascomycota; Pichiomycetes; Serinales; Metschnikowiaceae. The record is from RNAcentral.
CCCCCGGGGGCAUUGCCCCCAGUACGGCGAGUGAGCGGCAAAAGCUCAAAUUUGAAAUCCUGCGGGAAUUGUAAUUUGAAGGUUUCGUGGUCUGAGUCGGCCGCGCCCAAGUCCAUUGGAACAUGGCGCCUGGGAGGGUGAGAGCCCCGUCCGGCGCACGCCGACUCUUUGCACCGCGGCUCCGACGAGUCGAGUUGUUUGGGAAUGCAGCUCUAAGUGGGUGGUAAAUUCCAUCUAAAGCUAAAUAUUGGCGAGAGACCGAUAGCGAACAAGUACAGUGAUGGAAAGAUGAAAAGCACUUUGAAAAGAGAGUGAAACAGCACGUGAAAUUGUUGAAAGGGAAGGGCUUGCAAGCAGACACGGUUUUACCGGGCCAGCGUCAAAUAAACGGGGGGGAAAAGGGGGAAAGAAUGUGGCGCGUGCCUUCGGGUUCGCGUGUUAUAGCUUUCUCUAAUACCCCCAUGUUUGUUUGAGGCCUGCGAUUCUAGGACGCUGGCGUAAUGGUUGCAAGCCGCCCGUCUUGAAACACGGACCCAA